GACGAACGCUGGCGGCGUGCUUAACACAUGCAAGUCGAACGGAAAGGCCCUGCUUUUGUGGGGUGCUCGAGUGGCGAACGCGUGAGUAACACGUGAGUAACCUGCCUUGACUUUGGGAUAACUUCAGGAAACUGGGGCUAAUACCGGAUAGGAGCUCCUGCUGCAUGGUGGGGGUUGGAAAGUUUCGGCGGUUGGGGAUGGACUCGCGGCUUAUCAGCUUGUUGGUGGGGUAGUGGCUUACCAAGGCUUUGACGGGUAGCCGGCCUGAGAGGGUGACCGGCCACAUUGGGACUGAGAUACGGCCCAGACUCCUACGGGAGGCAGCAGUGGGGAAUAUUGCACAAUGGGCGGAAGCCUGAUGCAGCAACGCCGCGUGCGGGAUGACGGCCUUCGGGUUGUAAACCGCUUUCGCCUGUGACGAAGCGUGAGUGACGGUAAUGGGUAAAGAAGCACCGGCUAACUACGUG
This 467-nucleotide ribosomal RNA is filed under the name uncultured bacterium. RNAcentral describes it as "partial 16S ribosomal RNA". It matches the Rfam family "Bacterial small subunit ribosomal RNA", at positions 28 to 507 of the family's 1533-position model. The record is from RNAcentral.